Molecule: ribosomal RNA, 253 nt
Filed under: uncultured bacterium
Lineage: Bacteria
Description: partial 16S ribosomal RNA
Rfam family: Bacterial small subunit ribosomal RNA
Source: RNAcentral
UACGUAGGGCGCAAGCGUUAUCCGGAAUUAUUGGGCGUAAAGAGCGUGUAGGCGGCCGUACAGGUCAGCUGUGAAAACUCGAGGCUCAACCUCGAGACGUCGGUUGAAACCGUACGGCUAGAGUCCGGAAGAGGAGAGUGGAAUUCCCGGUGUAGCGGUGAAAUGCGCAGAUAUCGGGAAGAACACCCGUGGCGAAGGCGGCUCUCUGGGACGGUACUGACGCUGAGACGCGAAAGCGUGGGGAGCGAACAGG